UAUCUCAUCUCGCGUCGCCCCGAUCCAAUCUUGCGCUGUCUCCUUCCUUUCCCCGUCUCGAUCCAAUCUGCUCGCAUCCCCUCCGCCGCUCCUCUCCAGCAGCCCCCACGCUCCCACUCCCGCCCCGUCCACCUCCGCCGCCCCAUCAUCGAUGCAACAACCACCGCCACCGCUGCCAUCGAGGCCCCGGAGGAAGCCGUUGCAGCACCGGUGGUGGAAGAGGCGCCGCCGACGCCGCCGACGCCGCAGGCAGCCGCGCUCGGUAGGAGCAGCCUCUGCACGGGAGAAUUCUCCACAUGAUCUGGUGACGCAAGCCGUCGACCCACCUGAAGAACUCCGUGUCGUGCGGCUGCUCUUCUGGACGCUCUCGGCGCUGCUCGUCCAUGGCGUGAUCUCCGCUGCCGCUGCCUCCAACCACGCCGACCUCUUGCUCCAGUUCUUCCAGUUGGCUUAUAGCUGGGUGGGUUCUGGGCUUCUGGCCGGAGCCAGCCACCGUGGCGUUCCUCUACCACGCCCGCUGCAUCCUCCUCGAGACCAUGCCGCCCUUCUCUGUUUCCCUGAUGAGGCCACGGUCGCAGGCAUUUUGGGGCGCUGCUCCCAUCCAAAUGCUUUGUUGUGGCGCUCCUCCUCUCAUUCUCUCCAUUUAAAUCUUUGAGCAGGAAAUCAAUGGCGCUUUCUCGCUGUGCAGGAGUGGACAUGUUCAGCGCGUGUGGGAUUUCUCAAGUUCAAAGCUGACAUCGUCGAUGAGAAGACUGAACGCAAGCAGGCUGAAGGUGGAGGAGGGCGUGGACGGGAUUUGGUCCCGGCAUUGCACUCGGAGAUGCUCUAAUAUUUAAGGAGUCCUUGUUUCUUAUAUUAUUAUUUUAUCACAUUGCCAUCAAAUUAAAAUGCUUGUUUGAGUAAAUAGCACAUAAUGUACUAGUAACUCUUUGCUACUACCAUUAUUGGCAAGUUUUUGUAAGUAAUCUUUCUAGUCAAGCACUUGUUUAUCAUCUAUAGUAAUCUUAAGUUUUGCCAUUUUUCUCUUCUGGAUUUUCUCAUCUUGUUUUCAUAGGCUUGCUGGCUGCGUCUUCUAUUUUACUUGGUACACUUGUUAGACCCCAAAGCGUUGAAAUCUUCAUUUUUUGUUAAUACAAUAUUUAAUGAGUACUACGUUACAGAAUCUAUUUUGUUAAUUUUUACCAUCAAUGCAAAGACAAACAUGUAUUUGCAUGCUAAUUUUGCUACUUUAUUAAAUUCAUGUCUGUUUUAGAAAGUACAGAUGCGCAUGAAAAAUUGUUGCAUUGUCUAAGGUCCAAUUCCAAACGAGUUGAAGCAGAAUUCAUUUUGUUAGUUUUAUGACACAGGCUAGUAAGUAUUUUGCAAUUCAUUUAGUUCCACUCUUUUUCAUCUUGUAGGUUUAGGUACUACAAGCAUGCCACUAGCUCGGGAGAGUGAGAGGGAAAGGAGGGCAUUCCUCGCGGAACAUAAAUGCAUAGGUUGUGUGUAUGCUAAGCUAAGGGGGGCAUUGAUUACAUGUACUUUAACCAUUAUACCUCUAGCUCUAGGUUAUGCAUGUUAUCUUGUCAGUUUUCAUCUCAUUAUGAUGCAACGUUGUUGUGUUUGUCAUUUAUAGGCAUCGGGAGGAGUUAGCCGCAAGACCUGAAGCACAAGAGAGAGCAUUUGAAGCGAUACAAAAGAAGCAUCAAGAAGAAUUGGAAGCUCUAAAGAAGAUCCAACAAGAGAAGAAUGAAGCCUGGCAAAGAAGCAAAAGGAGACGUAUAUUCUGCUUGAUUUUCUCUUGAGGGAUCAAGCAACUCUGUAGUCCCAAUCCAAACUAGAUGGUUCAUGAAAGCCAUCCUUACAUUGCAAUUGUCAGGACAACAUCUGUGGUCUUUACAACUAUUUUCAUCUUGUCUAUUGUCUGUCAAACUUGAGUCAGUUUUUUACCCUCAUUUUUGUUUACAGAAUGAUUUGGCUGAGACGAUAUAUCAAUUUAUGA
Triticum dicoccoides is the source of this 1981-nucleotide long non-coding RNA. RefSeq lists it as uncharacterized. Lineage: Eukaryota; Viridiplantae; Streptophyta; Magnoliopsida; Poales; Poaceae. The record is from RefSeq and is a predicted model, not a curated record. The transcript has 2 exons.